Long non-coding RNA from Numida meleagris (helmeted guineafowl), 1877 nucleotides. The record is from Ensembl. NCBI's taxonomy places the organism in Eukaryota, Metazoa, Chordata, Aves, Galliformes, Numididae.
UGAGAGAUAGAGAAGGUGAAGAAAAUUUGAUGGACAGUUUUGAGUGAGUCUUAUCCAGGUAGUAAAGUGAGCAUUGGAAAGAGAAGUAGCAAUACUUUCUUCCCAGUUCCUUGCAUUAUAUGCACUCUGCCAUGAAAGGGUUGUGGCCCUGGCUGUGCACCUUGCCUGUCACCAUACCUACCUGUCACCUGUAAAUCUGCUUUUCCAGACUGAAUUAGACCGGAUGCCACAGCACUCAAUGCACAUAUUCUUGGACCGUUCUCUUUUUUUUUUUUACAGUUACUUAGCACCUUAACACACUAACUGUUGCUUCUGCAUGAUAUCCAUCCCUGGAAAACACUUCCAUGCAUUUCCACAGAGGGUCAUAAAAAGAUGUGACGAAGAGAACAUGCCAGCUUAGGAACAAAUUUGAAAGGACAGUAGCCAAGAGUAAAGUAAUUAUUGUCAACUGAGUCCAAGAAGUGUAGACAUCUUACGUAUGACCUUGUCGUAAGGAACUAAAUGGAACAAGGCUAAGGAAGUGUGCAUGUGUCACUGAUUGAUUUAAUCCUGCCAAACUCUUAAGUUUUGGAUGGAGUCUGAGAGUGACAACUCCCAGAUCAAAUGUGCUAGAAGAAAGAGCCAGAGGCAAUAUUCCUGCCCAAGGACCCUUCCAUUGCAAAGGAAACCCUUCAGUUCUCUUCCUUGGAAGACUUUGUUCUUCUUUAUCACUGAGCAGAGGGAACAGGUAUUACACAAAGAUAAAGUUAUUGCUUGCACCUGUCUGGAGCACAAGAGUGAAGCCCUGAAACUCCCCAACACAGCCCAUGGGAAUUUGGAGGUUGGACAUUCCCCACAUCAGUCUAAAUACCUUCAGCACUAUCGGACUGUGCUCUAACAGGAGCUAGAAUAGACUGGAAGCUGCACAGGUCAUAAAAGCCAGUGCUCAUAAAUACUUGGAGAGCUCCAAAAAUGGUUUCAUCCCUACAGUGUGAGACAAGAAUUAAGCUUAUUUAGCAGUUUUGAACUCUAUCACAAUACUUAUUUUAGGAAAAGACAGACUGUGCUGUAUCUGUUUCAUUACAUGGGUUGAAUUUGUAAUUUGUAAGCCUACACUUUCUGUUUGUCUUGAAUUAUAGAAGUAUAUAGUGCAGUGAUUUCAAGUGACAGAUCCACUAAAUGUAUAGUUUGUUGGAAUUAUAUCUACUUUUCUUCUUUAUUUAGGCAAUUUAGACUAAUUUAAAUGAUUGUUUCUUUUCUAAUCUCCUGACAGAUAGGAGGAUAACAAGAACUCUUGUUCAGGCCAUUCAUACUAGAACACUUCUGUACCUCUCAUGUUUCUCUUUUCUUUAUCUUGGUAAAACAGAUACCACAAAGAAAAACCAGCAAUCCAUUAUUAUUAUUUUUUUUAAUAGUAAAAGUAGUCCAGCACUUACAAGUGGAAGUUUUACAUGAGUAAUGGUUCAGUCAAGCAGUAAUACAUCACUGAACUGGAAUUAUGCAGACCUCUCUUGGACACUGUGGUCAGUUUCUGACCUGAGCAGCUCUUGGGUAUGCAUUCAUGAUGAUUCAGAACAUUGUUUCAUGUGACUUUUACAUACAUUUGCAAUUUUUAAAAAUAUUACUGUAUUUGUGUUCUUGCUUUCCCCCACUGCUGUGAAAUGAUUCAUGGUUGAGUUGUAUUCUCCUGGCUCCUCUUGGCCUUGCAAAAGACAGCAAGUGUUUUACAGCAAGCCUUCAGACUCCUGCCUGAGGAAGCUCUGUGCAACUAGAAUCCUUUGUCUAUAUUCCCUGUUUCUUUCCAGUCAAUGAAAAUGAUAAAAAUAAUGUUUGAAAGCCAGCAUAGCUAUCCGUGACUCCUAAAAUUGUUAAAAUGUUUCGUUCAUCCUGAAAUAUUC